Non-coding RNA from Chrysemys picta bellii (western painted turtle), 514 nucleotides. Lineage: Eukaryota; Metazoa; Chordata; Testudines; Emydidae. The record is from RefSeq and is a predicted model, not a curated record.
UUGGCAACUACAAGCUCAUCUCUGCUAUGUAUCUGAACCUCAAGAGUUGAAUUCAAGUCUGUCAUGUUUAUCCGUGGCCUCUCCGGGACUUUAGAAACAGAAGUAUAUCAGAGAUAAGCCAAUGCCAGAAAGAUGAUUCAUCAAACACUGAGCCUGGAAAUGUGCAAAAGUGCAAAAACUCUGGGAAAUUCUACAGCCAGACAGUGACUGGAUUGUUGGAAGAAGCUGACUCGUCUCCCCUGCCUCUAGAGACAGUCCCCGGGGGAUCCCUUCUGAAGAGGUCUCCAUCCCUUCUCACAGAUGUCUCUGCAUAUUCCCUUUUCUUGUGCAGUUGUUUGUAUCACAUGGCACUGGGAAUCUGCAAAGGUCCUGUUGGCAGACGAAUGCAUCUAUAGAAGUCACAUGGUCAGCCAACAAUGAAGAGCUGGGUUAUGGUCUAUGAGAAACAACGACAACAAAUAUGAAAUCCUUGGCUAGCUACGAUGGUAUAAAAUAGAUUCUCUCUUUCAUUAUA